AAUUUUUUAAGAUUUCAGCCCAUUAUUCAUUAACUGGGCCCAAGUUCAUUCGUCAUCUUGCAAGGCGGUGCGCUUCGUUCCCACCUCCUACCGCUGCAUGAUCAAUGAUCAAUUUUCAAAUUAUGUGUGUACAUUCUGUUGGAUAGAUGCAGUAGUAGUCGUGGACGAUUACAAUCGGAAGAGUUCAGCUGUGAGACCACGUCCUACAGCGUCGGUUUCGUCAUUUCAUUCAUUGUUCCUCCGUCGAUGCCUUCGCUCCGCGCCGGAAGUCGGUAGAGUUGGUUAAGCCAACGAAAAUGGGUCAAAUGAAUGAAGAAGUUGCGGGCAGUAUGUAUGCUCGUAAUUCGCGCAUGUAUUUCUGUAUAGAUAAAGAUGUCUCUUCUGUUUUCACCAGUUUAAAAAUUAAACAAUCAUACGCCGACGACGGUGUUAAUUUAUGACUGGUAACUUGACAGUGCUUGUUGAACUUGGAUGCGGGUGCAAGAUAUGUUUACUAUACUUUCAUUGCAAGCAUUAUGAUGACAAAGCUGCCUAAGCACAGCUAGGUUUUUUAACUCAACAAAGCAAGGUAACUAAAAUAGUGUGAUUAGAAUUGCUAAGGACUCGGAAUUGAUCCAAGAAGAAUUUACAUUAAAUGCUGAAAGACAGGUAAGUAAGCAGAGUAGUAAACUAAAGCUAUAAAAGAAAAUAAGUAAAACAACAUAUUUGAAUCUUCUGAGGGUAGAUUUGUUUUUCUUUUCAUCACACCGUAGUAUUUAUUAGAGUUAGGUGAGAUGAUGGUGGUCAAUCAGACACAUAAAUCUUGAGGGAAAAAAAAGGGUUAAAAGUUAGAACUACAUGGGAAGUUAUCAAAAGUUAUUACGUCUUUGGUAUCUCACCUGACCAAGGCCCCUUGAUGCUAGUAAGUACCUCACCCAAGUAGCUGCAAAUUCACCACAUUUGGAUUAUCUUGAAGUUACACCAUUUUUUGGAAUUCAAAUGCAGCUGUCAAUCACAUUCCAAAUUUUUUUCUGGUGGAUCUUUUUAUUCCCCCACGCAUGCCCAUUGUUCACCUCAAUCAGUAAAAAUUUAUUACAUUCUUGUGUUUAUUACUUUAUUUCCUACUUCUGGGUUCAUUUGGAAUAGUUGGUUAAAGUAUAGAAAUAUAGUUCUUCUAGUGAUUCUCAACUUGGAUUCCUUGUUGAAUAUCAAGGAAAAUGCUGACUUGCGGCUGUAAUUAUCUAAGAGCAGAUUUACGGGCAUUAGAAUUCCUUAGGACUAGUUUGAUGGUUAACUUUAUCAUAUCUACUGUAGUAUAAUCUAAUGGAUGUACAUUUUUUCUGAGUUUAGUAUUAAUUACAGAUUUUAAUACAUCAAAGUAAACGCAUGGUUGGGGUGGCUAGAAUAUCUCUCUUAGGAAAUAUGACCUAAGUUGACUCACAAACCUACAUUAUAGGCUUUAAGCUAUAGUGAUAAAAAUAUACUUGGUUGUGUCAUGAUUCAUGAAUUUGGUGAAUGUUUGGUCUUCAAUAUGCCUGUAGAACUCUACUCUACUUAUGUUCUUGAAACUUGAUGUAGUAGAACACGGGGCUAUCUAUUUACAUUUCAAAAUUGAUUAUUUUACCAUCGAACUUAGAAUCCUCAAUUAUCUGAUACAACGCAGAGGAACAAUUAGCUCUCUGACAUUGUUCUAUACCAUUCACUUGUUCAGACUUGACUAGAAAAUUUUAUAGUUUGAAGUUGUUAAUGAUUUGUUGUUGCUCUUUUAUUUUGUUACUUUAUCUUACAUUACCCCGGGUUAGCUGGUUUCUCAGAGUUAUGUACCCUUGCGAUGCACCAAAUGAAUGGUACACUGACAUGGUCAUUUGAAUUUUACUUAUCAGUUUUUUCAACUGGGCUAAGACUUUUGAUGAGGAAAAGAGUAUUGAAACCAACUACAUAAUAGGGAGGCACUAAAGCAAAUGAGCGACAUCGCCUUAAAGUUGCUUGGAAUACCAAUGGAACCCAAGGAAGAAUAUAUUCCUCAUGUACCAGGCUCCGAUGAGCCGUCCCAAAGUUCAUGCGCACAGUUGAUGGCAAAUUAUGCAAUUAUGAAACAUUAUGGUUUGUCCCUUCUGUAAUUCUUGUAUGUUUCUCUGUAACUAGUCUGUCGUUAUGGAUGAGAUUGUUGUGCAAAUUAUGCAUAUUUUGUAUGUUGUUUCGAUGCAUUUGAAUUAUUACUGUA
RNA transcript from Andrographis paniculata, 2203 nucleotides. RefSeq lists it as uncharacterized. Lineage: Eukaryota; Viridiplantae; Streptophyta; Magnoliopsida; Lamiales; Acanthaceae. The record is from RefSeq and is a predicted model, not a curated record. The transcript is spliced from 7 exons.